RNAcentral lists this ribosomal RNA (497 nucleotides) under uncultured bacterium. RNAcentral's name for it is "partial 16S ribosomal RNA". It matches the Rfam family "Bacterial small subunit ribosomal RNA", at positions 28 to 507 of the family's 1533-position model. The record is from RNAcentral.
GACGAACGCUGGCGGCGUGCCUAAUACAUGCAAGUUGAGCGAUGAAGAUUGGUGCUUGCACCAAUUUGAAGAGCAGCGAACGGGUGAGUAACGCGUGGGGAAUCUGCCUUUGAGCGGGGGACAACAUUUGGAAACGAAUGCUAAUACCGCAUAACAACUUUAAACAUAAGUUUUAAGUUUGAAAGAUGCAAUUGCAUCACUCAAAGAUGAUCCCGCGUUGUAUUAGCUAGUUGGUGAGGUAAAGGCUCACCAAGGCGAUGAUACAUAGCCGACCUGAGAGGGUGGUCGGCCACAUUGGGACUGGGACACGGCCCAAACUCCCACGGGGGGCAGCAGUAGGGAAUCUUCGGCAAUGGGCGAAAGUCUGACCGGGCAACGCCGCGUGAGUGGAGAAGGUUUUCGGGUCGGAAAACUCUGUUGGUAGGGAAGAACGUUGGUGGGAGUGGAAUGCGCAUCAAGUGACGGUAACUACACAGAAAGGGACGGCUAACUACGUG